This is a non-coding RNA of Pelodiscus sinensis (Chinese soft-shelled turtle), 522 nucleotides long. NCBI's taxonomy places the organism in Eukaryota, Metazoa, Chordata, Testudines, Trionychidae. The record is from RefSeq and is a predicted model, not a curated record.
UCUCUCUCUCCAAGACACCAUUCUUCAUUUUCUGAAAUAAAAUCCUUCAAAAUAGAGGCAAAGAAGAAGACACCAGAAGGAAAAACAGAAACUUUUUCCCUGAAGAAGUAAAAGGAGAACUGGUAAGAAAGGGACUUAAUUGGAAAACAGGUGGAGGAGAAAGAAAUAUGUGGAUGGCAAAGCAAGAUGGCCACAUUAUUUAGCCCACUGGGUGACCUUCAGUCCAUGCAUUAUGGUGUCACUAAUUUGCAGUGACACCCCACUCGUGUGCCUUGGAGUUGGGUGAAUUUGAAGAAGACUGUGAAUAGGCCUCCUCAUUAGCAGUAGAAGGAUAAGUUCUGUAACACACUCUCUUUGGAAGAAAGCAGGCGGUUAAAAAGGGAUGCUCAGAACUGAGGCAAAUAAAGCCAAGCACACAGCAGGAUUCCUCAGAGAAGAAUUGAAAUGAAAGCACUGUAAGGAAACACCUAAUACCUACCCUCAGAGGUAGGGGCCCGGGCAGAGACAGCUGCAUCCUGGAGG